CACGUAGGGUGCGAGCGUUGUCCGGAAUUAUUGGGCGUAAAGAGCUCGUAGGCGGUGUGUCGCGUCGGCCGUGAAAACCUGCAGCUUAACUGUGGGCUUGCGGUCGAUACGGGCAUCACUGGAGUUCGGCAGGGGAGACUGGAAUUCCUGGUGUAGCGGUGAAAUGCGCAGAUAUCAGGAGGAACACCGGUGGCGAAGGCGGGUCUCUGGGCAGUAACUGACGCUGAGGCGCGAAAGCCAGGGGAGCAAACGGG
RNAcentral lists this ribosomal RNA (254 nucleotides) under uncultured bacterium. Its description in RNAcentral is "partial 16S ribosomal RNA". It matches the Rfam family "Bacterial small subunit ribosomal RNA", at positions 524 to 776 of the family's 1533-position model. The record is from RNAcentral.